GGAUGUGAGGGUGAUCUGUCUGUGUCGUCUCUCACCACAUUGAUGGCCAGAGUUGAUUCUGCUGAUCUGGGUGGUUGAGCCAGUAUCCUUUCUUCUCUUUCCACUCCAUGCGUCCCUCCUGAGGCUGUGCACUUGGUUGGAGAGGACGGCCUUCCCCACAUAGAGAUUGAUUGCGCUCUUGGAUUGAGGGUAUCCAAGUAGCUCUGCUCCCUGCUAGAAACCCCAAACAUGCUCUCCCAGCGUGGAGGGUGGCCCGUACCUUCACCAAGACGUGUAUUCUCAGCAAACUGCCUGGUU
This 297-nucleotide small nuclear RNA is filed under the name Sorex araneus (European shrew). Its description in RNAcentral is "7SK RNA (ENSSARG00000019975.1)". It matches the Rfam family "7SK RNA". Rfam says of the family: 7SK was discovered as an abundant small nuclear RNA in the mid-70s but a possible function has only recently been suggested. Two independent studies have found that 7SK RNA binds the CDK9/cyclin T complex (known as elongation factor P-TEFb). P-TEFb activates transcription by phosphorylating the C-terminal domain of RNA polymerase II. Lineage: Eukaryota; Metazoa; Chordata; Mammalia; Eulipotyphla; Soricidae. The record is from RNAcentral.